RNAcentral lists this ribosomal RNA (492 nucleotides) under uncultured bacterium. Its description in RNAcentral is "partial 16S ribosomal RNA". It matches the Rfam family "Bacterial small subunit ribosomal RNA", at positions 29 to 507 of the family's 1533-position model. The record is from RNAcentral.
AGUGAACGCUGGCGGUAGGCCUAACACAUGCCAGUCGAACGGCAGCACAGUAAGAGCUUGCUCUUACGGGUGGCGAGUGGCGGACGGGUGAGGAAUACAUCGGAAUCUACUUUUUCGUGGGGGAUAACGUAGGGAAACUUACGCUAAUACCUCAUACGACUUACGGGUGAAAGCAGGGGAUCUUCGUACCUUGCGCGAUUGAAUGAGCCGAUGUCGGAUUAGCUAGUUGGCGGGGUAAAGGCCCACCAAGGCGACGAUCCGUAGCUGGUCUGAGAGGAUGAUCAGCCACACUGGAACUGAGACACGGUCCAGACUCCUACGGGAGGCAGCAGUGGGGAAUAUUGGACAAUGGGCGCAAGCCUGAUCCAGCCAUACCGCGUGGGUGAAGAAGGCCUUCGGGUUGUAAAGCCCUUUUGUUGGGAAAGAAAAGCAGCAGGUUAAUACCCCGAUGUUCUGACGGUACCCAAAGAAUAAGCACCGGCUAACUUCGUG